Molecule: long non-coding RNA, 1195 nt
Filed under: Anser cygnoides (Swan goose)
Lineage: Eukaryota; Metazoa; Chordata; Aves; Anseriformes; Anatidae
Description: lncRNA (ENSACDG00005008219.1)
Source: RNAcentral
CCACAACAACCUCUCAGCUGUAAGGGACUAGCUUUAUUGACUCCGGUAAAGCAAUUUACACCAUCUGGAAACCAAGCCUGAUCUCCCAGUGAGCUCCUGUCCCCAGGUGGAACCACUUCAGCCUGAAGAGCCAUCAGGGGCAGGAGCAGAGCUUUGCAAACCUGGCAAGGUCAGCCUUCAUUUUUUGUGCAAAACAACUCUCCCAUCUAUCUGCAAGAACCCCCUUUUGUCUCCACCUUGUGCAGCUGUCUUUCUUUAGGUAAUCCUAAUAGGGACAAGAACAAUUUUCAGGAAAUAACUUGUUGUUUCUUAGAAGUAACAUUAGAAAUCCCUUUUGUAGCAAAGACAAUUGCCCAACUGCUACCUUCCCAGAAGUGUGAAGAGGUUACCAGGAAAUUAAAAUAAAAGCUAUGGGGCUGACUCUAAGUUUUUCAUACACCUGGCCUGGAAGAGACAUCUGAUUGGAGGGGCCUAUGCAGGUGUUCAGAGUUAAGGAAUGUGGACAUGAAGAACCAUGAUGCUAUGGGGCCAGUAUCUUCCAGGCCUGGUGUCUAUUUUGUGACUGCAUAAAACUAAUUUAUUUAUUUAUUUAUUUAUUUUUAGGUCCCUGGGGAGGGUGUCUGUGCUGUUUUAGCACUGAGAAGAAAAGUUCUCCUAGGCUGGUUCAGUGUACCACAAAGGUCUCAGCAGAAAAUCUUCAAAAAACCCCUAAAGCCCUACAUGUUUCAGGUGAACAUUUGUUUCAUGUAUGUGUCUGGAAAGAGGGUAGUUUUGGGGGUGCCAGGUGCUGUGUAGGGUGGGAAGCUGACAGGGGUGUGCUGAGCAUAGCUAAGGGGUGAUGGUGGUGACUCUGGGUCAGGACAGGUGAGCAAAUAACCCACCAAGUAUGUGGCAGUGAUUUGAUGUAUUAACUACUACUGUUCCUCCCGAAACUUAUGUGCACCAAAAAGAAUCAAGAUGGUGCUCUGGACACUGCAUUAUCAAAGGAUGAAGGUAUUUUGCUGCUUCUCGUGUCUUAAUUCUGGGCUAGGGAGAGUCUGAGAGAACAAUGCUCUGGUAAGGGCAUUUAUGCGACUCAGAGGAGACCUCAGAUCUGGGCCCUGCUCCAAAGUACGGAUUUGUUAGAGGAGUAUUUCUGCUGAUGGAAUAGGUGCUUUUGGGGUUGAGUAGAAACUGAGUAGGGCAUUUGAGGUUG